This 495-nucleotide ribosomal RNA is filed under the name uncultured bacterium. Its description in RNAcentral is "partial 16S ribosomal RNA". It matches the Rfam family "Bacterial small subunit ribosomal RNA", at positions 28 to 507 of the family's 1533-position model. The record is from RNAcentral.
GACGAACGCUGGCGGCGUGCCUAAUACAUGCAAGUAGAACGCUGAAGGAGGAGCUUGCUCUUCUGGAUGAGUUGCGAACGGGUGAGUAACGCGUAGGUAACCUGCCUGGUAGCGGGGGAUAACUAUUGGAAACGAUAGCUAAUACCGCAUAACAGUAGAUGUUGCAUGACAUUUGCUUAAAAGGUGCAAUUGCACCACUACCAGAUGGACCUGCGUUGUAUUAGCUAGUUGGUGGGGUAACGGCUCACCAAGGCGACGAUACAUAGCCGACCUGAGAGGGUGAUCGGCCACACUGGGACUGAGACACGGCCCAGACUCCUACGGGAGGCAGCAGUAGGGAAUCUUCGGCAAUGGACGGAAGUCUGACCGAGCAACGCCGCGUGAGUGAAGAAGGUUUUCGGAUCGUAAAGCUCUGUUGUAAGAGAAGAACGAGUGUGUGAGUGGAAAGUUCACACUGUGACGGUAUCUUACCAGAAAGGGACGGCUAACUACGUG